AUCCAGAUGACGAAUCCCAAAUAGGACGAAAUGAGCAUCCUGGAU
RNAcentral lists this non-coding RNA (45 nucleotides) under Trichobilharzia regenti. Lineage: Eukaryota; Metazoa; Platyhelminthes; Trematoda; Strigeidida; Schistosomatidae. The record is from RNAcentral.